RNAcentral lists this ribosomal RNA (1344 nucleotides) under Pedobacter sp. M0-12. Its description in RNAcentral is "bacterial SSU rRNA". It matches the Rfam family "Bacterial small subunit ribosomal RNA", at positions 80 to 1426 of the family's 1533-position model. The record is from RNAcentral. Lineage: Bacteria; Pseudomonadati; Bacteroidota; Sphingobacteriia; Sphingobacteriales; Sphingobacteriaceae.
UUGCUUCUUAUGAAAGUGGCGCACGGGUGCGUAACGCGUAUGCAACCUACCUUAAUCAGGGGGAUAGCCCGAAGAAAUUCGGAUUAAGACCGCAUAAAAACACAGGAUAGCAUUAUCCAAUGUUCAAAUAUUUAUAGGAUUAAGAUGGGCAUGCGUGUCAUUAGCUAGUUGGCGGGGUAACGGCCCACCAAGGCGACGAUGACUAGGGGAUCUGAGAGGAUGACCCCCCACACUGGUACUGAGACACGGACCAGACUCCUACGGGAGGCAGCAGUAAGGAAUAUUGGUCAAUGGAGGGAACUCUGAACCAGCCAUGCCGCGUGCAGGAAGACAGCCCUCUGGGUCGUAAACUGCUUUUAUUCGGGAAUAAACCUACUUACGUGUAAGUAGCUGAAUGUACCGAAGGAAUAAGGAUCGGCUAACUCCGUGCCAGCAGCCGCGGUAAUACGGAGGAUCCAAGCGUUAUCCGGAUUUAUUGGGUUUAAAGGGUGCGUAGGCGGCUUAUUAAGUCAGGGGUGAAAGACGGUGGCUCAACCAUCGCAGUGCCCUUGAUACUGAUGAGCUUGAAUACACUAGAGGUAGGCGGAAUGUGACAAGUAGCGGUGAAAUGCAUAGAUAUGUCACAGAACACCGAUUGCGAAGGCAGCUUACUAUGGUGUUAUUGACGCUGAGGCACGAAAGCGUGGGGAUCAAACAGGAUUAGAUACCCUGGUAGUCCACGCCCUAAACGAUGAAUACUCGCUGUUAGCGAUAUACAGUUAGCGGCUAAGCGAAAGCGUUAAGUAUUCCACCUGGGGAGUACGCCCGCAAGGGUGAAACUCAAAGGAAUUGACGGGGGCCCGCACAAGCGGAGGAGCAUGUGGUUUAAUUCGAUGAUACGCGAGGAACCUUACCCGGGCUUGAAAGUUAGUGAAUGAUCUAGAGAUAGAUCAGUGAGCAAUCACACGAAACUAGGUGCUGCAUGGCUGUCGUCAGCUCGUGCCGUGAGGUGUUGGGUUAAGUCCCGCAACGAGCGCAACCCCUAUGUUUAGUUGCCAGCACGUUAAGGUGGGGACUCUAAACAGACUGCCUGUGCAAACAGAGAGGAAGGAGGGGACGACGUCAAGUCAUCAUGGCCCUUACGUCCGGGGCUACACACGUGCUACAAUGGAUGGUACAGAGGGCAGCAAGCUGGCAACAGCAAGCAAAUCUCAAAAAGCCAUUCACAGUUCGGAUAGAGGUCUGCAACUCGACCUCUUGAAGUUGGAUUCGCUAGUAAUCGCGUAUCAGCAAUGACGCGGUGAAUACGUUCCCGGGCCUUGUACACACCGCCCGUCAAGCCAUGGAAGUUGGGGGUACCUAAAG